Molecule: signal recognition particle RNA, 265 nt
Filed under: Candidatus Eiseniibacteriota bacterium
Lineage: Bacteria; Candidatus Eiseniibacteriota
Description: signal recognition particle sRNA large type
Rfam family: Bacterial large signal recognition particle RNA
About the family: The signal recognition particle (SRP) is a universally conserved ribonucleoprotein involved in the co-translational targeting of proteins to membranes. Archaeal SRP consists of a 7S RNA and homologues of the eukaryotic SRP19 and SRP54 proteins.
Source: RNAcentral
CCGUGCUAGAUGGGGAGUCAGCGGUGCCCUGUAACCCGCAAUCCGCUAUAGCGGGGUCGAAGUCCCUUCCCAGAUCCCGAUUUCUUUCCUCAUCCCUGGCCAGGGGCGCCGACGGUCAGGCUCUGCGCGACGGCGGCCCGUGAACCCCGUCAGGACCGGGAGGUAGCAGCGGUAAACGGUCUCCGCCGGGUGCCGCAGAUUGCCCUGGCCUGAGCCACCAGUCGGGUCUUGGGGACGGAAUAGGCGAGCGAAGAAGGGUGCACGG